GUAUAAGCUCAUGUAGGAUCAGCCAUGUCUUCCUUCUGUGUGUUUCCUGUAGUAACUUGUAUGGUGAUAAGGACAUUCAAGGGCUCCAAAUGACUACUGACUUAGCUUCUCAGCUUCCUAACAUCUGUGGAGGCAUUGUAUUUGGGGCAAGAAACAAUACUCCAUUUAAAGUGCUGAUAUGCUUCAAAACAACCAAAAAAGGUCAAGAAACGAUUCUGGAAGGAAAACACCUAGCGAGGCUGGCUCAAAGAAUGAAGCACUGGUGGGGUUGUGACAACUUUGGCCUUGUGUCUCAUGAGGCCGCCUCAUUAUUCUUGACCUUGCAACACUGCUGACCACUUCAACAGACCUAAAAGAACAGUACAUGGGGC
This 371-nucleotide long non-coding RNA is filed under the name Phascolarctos cinereus (koala). RNAcentral's name for it is "lncRNA (ENSPCIG00000036934.1)". Lineage: Eukaryota; Metazoa; Chordata; Mammalia; Diprotodontia; Phascolarctidae. The record is from RNAcentral.